GUCUACGGCCAUACCACCCUGAACAUGCCCGAUCUCGUCUGAUCUCGGAAGCUAAGCAGGGUCGGGCCUGGUUAGUACUUGGAUGGGAGACAAAUAUCCAUUACAUAUUAAAAAGUUUAAAAUUAGGUAGAUU
Ribosomal RNA from Mustela putorius furo (domestic ferret), 133 nucleotides. NCBI's taxonomy places the organism in Eukaryota, Metazoa, Chordata, Mammalia, Carnivora, Mustelidae. The record is from Ensembl.